AGGGUGACCGGCCACACUGGGACUGAGACACGGCCCAGACUCCUACGGGAGGCAGCAGUGGGGAAUCUUGCGCAAUGGGCGAAAGCCUGACGCAGCGACGCCGCGUGGGGGACGAAGGCCUUCGGGUUGUAAACCUCUUUCAGCAGGGAAGAAGCGAGAGUGACGGUACCUGCAGAAGAAGCACCGGCUAACUACGUGCCAGCAGCCGCGGUAAUACGUAGGGUGCAAGCGUUGUCCGGAAUUAUUGGGCGUAAAGAGCUCGUAGGUGGCGGGUCACGUCGGGUGUGAAAGCCCGGGGCUUAACCCCGGGUCUGCAUUCGAUACGGGCUUGCUAGGGUCCGGCAGGGGAGACUGGAAUUCCUGGUGUAGCGGUGAAAUGCGCAGAUAUCAGGAGGAACACCGGUGGCGAAGGCGGGUCUCUGGGCCGGUACCGACGCUGAGGAGCGAAAGCGUGGGGAGCGAACAGGAUUAGAUACCCUGGUAGUCCACGCCGUAAACGUUGGGCGCUAGGUGUGGGGAGCAUUCCACGUUCUCUGUGCCGUAGCUAACGCAUUAAGCGCCCCGCCUGGGGAGUACGG
This 578-nucleotide ribosomal RNA is filed under the name uncultured bacterium. RNAcentral describes it as "bacterial SSU rRNA". It matches the Rfam family "Bacterial small subunit ribosomal RNA", at positions 297 to 885 of the family's 1533-position model. The record is from RNAcentral.